ACGCGAAGAACCUUACCAUCCCUUGACAUCCUGCGAACUUUCUAGAGAUAGAUUGGUGCUUCGGGAACGCAGUGACAGGUGCUGCAUGGCUGUCGUCAGCUCGUGUCGUGAGAUGUUGGGNUAAGUCCCGCAACGAGCGCAACCCUUAUCAUUAGUUGCUAACAUUUAGUUGAGAACUCUAAUGAGACUGCCGGUGAUAAACCGGAGGAAGGNGGGGACGACGUCAAGUCAUCAUGGCCCUUAUGGGAUGGGCUACACACGUGCUACAAUGGGGGGUACAAAGAGCAGCCAACUGGCGACAGUGCGCGAAUCUCAUAAAACCUCUCGUAGUCCGGAUCGGAGUCUGCAACUCGACUCCGUGAAGUCGGAAUCGCUAGUAAUCGUGAAUCAGAAUGUCACGGUGAA
Molecule: ribosomal RNA, 405 nt
Filed under: Thiomicrospira sp.
Lineage: Bacteria; Pseudomonadati; Pseudomonadota; Gammaproteobacteria; Thiotrichales; Piscirickettsiaceae
Description: bacterial SSU rRNA
Rfam family: Bacterial small subunit ribosomal RNA
Source: RNAcentral